This 1554-nucleotide ribosomal RNA is filed under the name Klebsiella pneumoniae. Its description in RNAcentral is "bacterial SSU rRNA". It matches the Rfam family "Bacterial small subunit ribosomal RNA". Lineage: Bacteria; Pseudomonadati; Pseudomonadota; Gammaproteobacteria; Enterobacterales; Enterobacteriaceae. The record is from RNAcentral.
ACUUAAAUUGAAGAGUUUGAUCAUGGCUCAGAUUGAACGCUGGCGGCAGGCCUAACACAUGCAAGUCGAGCGGUAGCACAGAGAGCUUGCUCUCGGGUGACGAGCGGCGGACGGGUGAGUAAUGUCUGGGAAACUGCCUGAUGGAGGGGGAUAACUACUGGAAACGGUAGCUAAUACCGCAUAACGUCGCAAGACCAAAGUGGGGGACCUUCGGGCCUCAUGCCAUCAGAUGUGCCCAGAUGGGAUUAGCUAGUAGGUGGGGUAACGGCUCACCUAGGCGACGAUCCCUAGCUGGUCUGAGAGGAUGACCAGCCACACUGGAACUGAGACACGGUCCAGACUCCUACGGGAGGCAGCAGUGGGGAAUAUUGCACAAUGGGCGCAAGCCUGAUGCAGCCAUGCCGCGUGUGUGAAGAAGGCCUUCGGGUUGUAAAGCACUUUCAGCGGGGAGGAAGGCGUUAAGGUUAAUAACCUUGGCGAUUGACGUUACCCGCAGAAGAAGCACCGGCUAACUCCGUGCCAGCAGCCGCGGUAAUACGGAGGGUGCAAGCGUUAAUCGGAAUUACUGGGCGUAAAGCGCACGCAGGCGGUCUGUCAAGUCGGAUGUGAAAUCCCCGGGCUCAACCUGGGAACUGCAUUCGAAACUGGCAGGCUAGAGUCUUGUAGAGGGGGGUAGAAUUCCAGGUGUAGCGGUGAAAUGCGUAGAGAUCUGGAGGAAUACCGGUGGCGAAGGCGGCCCCCUGGACAAAGACUGACGCUCAGGUGCGAAAGCGUGGGGAGCAAACAGGAUUAGAUACCCUGGUAGUCCACGCCGUAAACGAUGUCGAUUUGGAGGUUGUGCCCUUGAGGCGUGGCUUCCGGAGCUAACGCGUUAAAUCGACCGCCUGGGGAGUACGGCCGCAAGGUUAAAACUCAAAUGAAUUGACGGGGGCCCGCACAAGCGGUGGAGCAUGUGGUUUAAUUCGAUGCAACGCGAAGAACCUUACCUGGUCUUGACAUCCACAGAACUUUCCAGAGAUGGAUUGGUGCCUUCGGGAACUGUGAGACAGGUGCUGCAUGGCUGUCGUCAGCUCGUGUUGUGAAAUGUUGGGUUAAGUCCCGCAACGAGCGCAACCCUUAUCCUUUGUUGCCAGCGGUUCGGCCGGGAACUCAAAGGAGACUGCCAGUGAUAAACUGGAGGAAGGUGGGGAUGACGUCAAGUCAUCAUGGCCCUUACGACCAGGGCUACACACGUGCUACAAUGGUAUAUACAAAGAGAAGCGACCUCGCGAGAGCAAGCGGACCUCAUAAAGUAUGUCGUAGUCCGGAUUGGAGUCUGCAACUCGACUCCAUGAAGUCGGAAUCGCUAGUAAUCGUAGAUCAGAAUGCUACGGUGAAUACGUUCCCGGGCCUUGUACACACCGCCCGUCACACCAUGGGAGUGGGUUGCAAAAGAAGUAGGUAGCUUAACCUUCGGGAGGGCGCUUACCACUUUGUGAUUCAUGACUGGGGUGAAGUCGUAACAAGGUAACCGUAGGGGAACCUGCGGUUGGAUCACCUCCUUACCUUAAAGAA